Long non-coding RNA from Aphis gossypii (cotton aphid), 788 nucleotides. RefSeq lists it as uncharacterized. Lineage: Eukaryota; Metazoa; Arthropoda; Insecta; Hemiptera; Aphididae. The record is from RefSeq and is a predicted model, not a curated record. The transcript has 5 exons.
AAGUAUAUUAUUUGUUACAGAUGGACUAAGGAUGAAGGAAGGGCAACUUCUGGACUUUUGAAUCUAAAGUGUCACAUGGUCAAUAUUAAUUGGCAGGCAAAUAUGAAUUCUUUACUGUGAAUAGCUUUGGAAGGAAAGAAUACUAUGGACUAAGGAUGAAGGAAGGGCAACUUCUGGACUUUUGAAUCUAAAGUGUCACAUGGUCAAUAUUAAUUGGCAGGCAAAUAUGAAUACUUUACUGUGAAUAGCUUUGGAAGGAAAGAAUACUAUGGACUAAGGAUGAAGGAAGGGCAACUUCUGGACUUUUGAAUCUAAAGUGUCACAUGGUCAAUAUUAAUUGGCAGGCAAAUAUGAAUUCUUUACUGUGAAUAGCUUUGGAAGGAAAGAAUACUAUGGAGUAAGGAUGAAGGAAGGGCAACUUCUGGACUUUUGAAUCUAAAGUGUCACAUGGUCAAUAUUAAUUGGCAGGCAAAUAUGAAUUCUUUACUGUGAAUAGCUUUGGAAGGAAAGAAUACUAUGGAGUAAGGAUGAAGGGAGAGCUUCUUCUGAAGUUUUGAAUCUAAAGUAUCACAUGGUCAAUAUAAAUUGGCAGGGAAAUAUCAAUUCUUUACUGUGAAUAUCAGAAAUAAUUAUUUUAGUAUCACUAACUUGAGAACCUCCAAGUUAGUUUUAUAGUUAUAAAAUAGUCAAAAUUUUUAAAUACCUAUGUGAGUAACACAAAUUGCAAUUAAGAUAACGCAGCGAUACUCCACACCAAAAUAACCAAAAUCUCUUAGAUAGGUAGUUAU